RNAcentral lists this ribosomal RNA (253 nucleotides) under uncultured bacterium. RNAcentral describes it as "partial 16S ribosomal RNA". It matches the Rfam family "Bacterial small subunit ribosomal RNA", at positions 524 to 776 of the family's 1533-position model. The record is from RNAcentral.
UACGUAGGAUGCAAGUGUUAUCCGGAAUCACUGGGCGUAAAGCGUCUGUAGGUGGUUUAAUAAGUCAACUGUUAAAUCUUGAGGCUCAACCUCAAAAUCGCAGUCGAAACUAUUAGGCUAGAGUAUAGUAGGGGUAAAGGGAAUUUCCAGUGGAGCGGUGAAAUGCGUAGAGAUUGGAAAGAACACCGAUGGCGAAGGCACUUUACUGGGCUAUUACUAACACUCAGAGACGAAAGCUAGGGUAGCAAAUGGG